CUGAACCGUCGUGACUGGCGGUUACUCGCGGCGGCUUCUCCUCCUCCGUAAGAGGACAUGCUGAGUCGGCGGCGGAGUUUAACUUGUCGGAAGAUAUAUUCAGAGUAGAACAUAAGAAACGCAGAGGACCGGAGCAGCCGUGGGCCACUUGCAGACCGUUGUUACUAUUCCAUUGCUACAGCCUACAGGAACAAGCUACUCAUAUAAAGCAUUAAACUUUGGAAAAACAAAGGCUCAAAAACAAAGCAGGGGGAGACCAGUCGUUGGUCCAAAAAACAAAAUACCCAUUUGCUGAUUUUGAGUUUCCCCUUUGCUUUUCUCUAUUCUCGAGGUUAGUCCUAAAGUUGCAACUUUUCCUUUACUUAAAAACCCCAAAACAUACAUUUUUAAAAAUAAGAUAACGAAAUCUUGAAUGUUGAUCCUUAUAAGAGACUGUUUUGUAUUGUAAUUUUUGUUUUGAAUUUAAAGUAGUAAUAUUCUUUUUUCCCGA
Molecule: long non-coding RNA, 490 nt
Organism: Eutrema salsugineum
Lineage: Eukaryota; Viridiplantae; Streptophyta; Magnoliopsida; Brassicales; Brassicaceae
Exons: 3
Source: RefSeq, a predicted model, not a curated record